ACGGGAGGCAGCAGUGAGGAAUAUUGGUCAAUGGGCGGAAGCCUGAACCAGCCAAGUCGCGUGAAGGAUGAAGGUAUUAUGUAUUGUAAACUUCUUUAGACGUAGAGAAAUAAGGUGCUCGUGAGCACUGAUGCUAGUAUACGUAGAAUAAGGAUCGGCUAACUCCGUGCCAGCAGCCGCGGUAAUACGGAGGAUCCGAGCGUUAUCCGGAUUUAUUGGGUUUAAAGGGUGCGCAGGCGGCUUUUUAAGUCAGUGGUUAAAUCGUGGAGCUCAACUCCAUCCCGCCAUUGAUACUGGAGAGCUUGAUUGCGGUCGAGGUUGGCGGAAUUCGUCGUGUAGCGGUGAAAUGCAUAGGUAUUACGAAGAACUCCGAUUGCGUAGGCAGCUUACCAGGCCGGCAAUGACGCUCAUGCACGAAAGUGCGGGGAUCGAACAGGAUUAGAUACCCUGGUA
RNAcentral lists this ribosomal RNA (453 nucleotides) under uncultured Porphyromonadaceae bacterium. Its description in RNAcentral is "partial 16S ribosomal RNA". It matches the Rfam family "Bacterial small subunit ribosomal RNA", at positions 341 to 792 of the family's 1533-position model. The record is from RNAcentral. Lineage: Bacteria; Pseudomonadati; Bacteroidota; Bacteroidia; Bacteroidales; Porphyromonadaceae.